RNAcentral lists this ribosomal RNA (189 nucleotides) under uncultured bacterium. RNAcentral's name for it is "partial 16S ribosomal RNA". It matches the Rfam family "Bacterial small subunit ribosomal RNA", at positions 338 to 524 of the family's 1533-position model. The record is from RNAcentral.
CCUACGGGAGGCAGCAGUGGGGAAUAUUGCACAAUGGGCGCAAGCCUGAUGCAGCCAUGCCGCGUGCAGGAUGACGGUCCUAUGGAUUGUAAACUGCUUUUAUACAGGAAGAAACACCUCUACGUGUAGAGACUUGACGGUACUGUAAGAAUAAGGAUCGGCUAACUCCGUGCCAGCAGCCGCGGUAAU